RNAcentral lists this ribosomal RNA (303 nucleotides) under uncultured bacterium. Its description in RNAcentral is "partial 16S ribosomal RNA". It matches the Rfam family "Bacterial small subunit ribosomal RNA", at positions 507 to 807 of the family's 1533-position model. The record is from RNAcentral.
AGCAGUAGCCACGGGAAUACGAAGGGGGCUAGCGUUGUUCGGAUUUACUGGGCGUAAAGGGUGCGUAGGCGGAUUGUUAAGUCAGGGGUGAAAUCCCGAGGCUCAACCUCGGAACUGCCUUUGAUACUGGCGAUCUUGAGUCCGGGAGAGGUGAGUGGAACUGCGAGUGUAGAGGUGAAAUUCGUAGAUAUUCGCAAGAACACCGGUGGCGAAGGCGGCUCACUGGCCCGGUACUGACGCUGAGGCACGAAAGCGUGGGGAGCAAACAGGAUUAGAUACCCCCGUAGUCCCUGUCUCUUAUAC